RNAcentral lists this ribosomal RNA (301 nucleotides) under uncultured bacterium. RNAcentral describes it as "partial 16S ribosomal RNA". It matches the Rfam family "Bacterial small subunit ribosomal RNA", at positions 509 to 807 of the family's 1533-position model. The record is from RNAcentral.
CAGUCGCCACGGUAAUACGUAGGGUGCGAGCGUUAAUCGGAAUUACUGGGCGUAAAGCGAGCGCAGACGGUUACUUAAGCAGGAUGUGAAAUCCCCGGGCUCAACCUGGGAACUGCGUUCCGAACUGGGUGACUAGAGUGUGUCAGAGGGAGGUAGAAUUCCACGUGUAGCAGUGAAAUGCGUUGAGAUUGGAAAGAACACCAACGGUAAAAGCACUCUGCUGGGCCGACACCGACACUGAGAGACGAAAGCUAGGGGAGCAAAUGGGAUUAGAGACCCCUGUAGUCCCUGUCUCUUAUAC